Molecule: ribosomal RNA, 1310 nt
Filed under: Hapalocarcinus marsupialis
Lineage: Eukaryota; Metazoa; Arthropoda; Malacostraca; Decapoda; Cryptochiridae
Description: 16S ribosomal RNA
Source: RNAcentral
UAUUUUUAUAAAAAUUGUUUAAUAAUUAUGGAUUUUAUAUUGGUUAGAAAAAGUAAUUAAUGAAAUUAAAAAGUUAGUAAUGUUUAGUAAAAUAUAAAUUAAACUAUAGUGUACAAGUACCGUAGGGGAAAUCGUUGAAAAUUGUAAUAGUAAAAUUAAAAGUUUGUAUCUUGUGUCUCAGGGAAUAUUUAUAUAAUCUAAAGUAUUUAGAGAUCUCGAAAUAAAUACAGCUAAUUUUAUAAAAAUGUUAUUGUAGAAAAUAUAUUUUAAAUAUAGAAUUAAAGGUGAAAUAUCAGUCGGGAUUUAUUAUAUCUAGUUUUUUAAAAUAAAAAUUUAAUUUUAUUUUCUUGUGUAUUCACUAAGAAAUUUUAACGUAGGAGGGAUAAGCUUCUUAUGUGACUAACAAACAGGUAGAAAGUUGUACGUUUUUUAAAUUAGGCUUAAAAAUGGCUAUUUUUAUAAAGUGUUAUAAUUUAAAUAAGUAGUAGAAAAAUAUUUUUUUUACCUUUUGUAAUUAUUAUUUUAAAGUUUAAAGUAACAUGGUAUUUGAAAUUAUAAUAAUAUUAUUAGUAGAAUUUUAUGUAAGGUUUGUAAUUAAAAUAAGAGUUAAUAUAUAAAAUUGGCUUGGUAUUAAAAAGGAAUUCGGCAAAACCAAUUUUUGCCUGUUUAUCAARRACAUGUMUGUUUGUAGGUAUAAAAAGUCCAAUCUGCCCACUGAUAUUAUUUUUUAAAGGGCCGCAGUAUUCUAACUGUGCAAAGGUAGCAUAAUCGUUAGUUCCUUAAUUGGGAUCUUGUAUGAAUGAUUAGACAAAAAAUUAGCUGUCUUUAUAAUUAAAAUUGAAAUUAACUUUUAAGUGAAAAGGCUUAAAUUGUUUGAAGUGACGAUAAGACCCUAUAAAGCUUAAUAUUUAUAUAAGAGUUUGAGUGAAAUGGAUUUUAAAAUUUUAAAGAUUAUAUGUAUUUUAUUGGGGUGAUAAAAGUAAAAUUAAAAUAACUGCUUUAUUGUUUAAACAAUGAUAUGUGAUUAAUGGGUUGUAAAUGAUCCUAUUAUGUGGAAUAAAGAUUAAGUUACUUUAGGGAUAACAGCGUUAUUUUUUUUAAGAGUUCUUAUCGAAAAAAAAGAUUGCGACCUCGAUGUUGAAUUAAAAUAUCUUUAUAAUUGUAGAGGUUAUAUAAGAAGGUCUGUUCGACCUUUAAAUUUUUACAUGAUUUGAGUUCAGACCGGUUUGAACCAGGUCGGUUUCUAUCUUUCAAUAAAAUGAAAUUACUUUAGUACGAAAGGAUUAAGUAAUUGGAAUAGUUUCAAUGAU